Drosophila simulans is the source of this 2243-nucleotide long non-coding RNA. RefSeq lists it as uncharacterized. NCBI's taxonomy places the organism in Eukaryota, Metazoa, Arthropoda, Insecta, Diptera, Drosophilidae. The transcript has 2 exons. The record is from RefSeq and is a predicted model, not a curated record.
AAAAUGUGAAAUUAUGCGAUUGUGAUAAAUUUAUCAAACGGCAUUCCGAUAAAAGGUGCAGAAAUCCAGUGCAUCGUACCAUAAUUUUCAUAUAAGAGACAAUUCGUUGGGUCUGAAUCCGCAUUUUAAAUCAAUUUAAUCAAACAAUAUUUUGUACGGACACAAAAAAAUAUGGCAAUAGCAUCACGGCAAUUAUGUGCAAAUUAGAUAAAUGGACAAACUAGUUAUGAUAGAUUAGAUAAUAUAGGCUUAUCAUAUUUCCCAUUAAGAUGCUUGCCCGUUCCAAAAUUUGGUUUUCUGGAUUGUGAUAAGAAGCCAGUGUUCAAAAGCCACCCAAAAACUGCUAAUGAGUUUUUAAAAACGCUCGGAGAAACAAAUUGCUAGAUAAAAGUCAGAUCACUAGACAAGCCGGUUCCAAAAAGCUUUCAUUUAACAGAUAAUAAGAAGGAGAAAAACUAAGUUUUUAGCAAAUAUGCAGUACCGACAAUUACCAGCACUGGACCUAUCGCCGCACAGCUGAUUGCCCGCCAAUCAGCUGGGCGAUAGUUGCUGUAUCGAUAGCCGACCCAUCGAUAACGAUAUGUGUAUUUUCCUGCUCUCUCUGCACCAACACAAAACACGCAACUAAAUUUCGGUUAAAAACCCCAGCUAAAAACAAUGUAAUCGAAACGGAAUCAUAUAAAGUGAUUAAAUGGCCAACGCGGCGGCGCCGAAAUGCGAGCGCAGUGCAUUUUCCGGAUGAAAUCGCGUUUUCGGGGAAACUUACACAAACAUUUUUUUUCGUAAGCGCUCUCAUGUUGUCUCUUUCGCACAGCAGAAUUACUAGUUGCUGUGUGUGUGCGUGCGUGCGUUUGUGUGUGCCGUAUGCCGUAUGCCAGUGUGUGCGUGCGUGAUUGUGUGUGUGAGUGACUUUGACUGCAGUUCGCGUACGUUUUUUAUUAAUACACCACAUAACAACAAUCACAACAACAAACAGUAAUGGAAACUAAACAUAUUUAAUGCGAGGAGACCAGAAAUCGUCUGAAACGGCAAGGCUUUAUCACCAUCGCCACCACCACCAACAGCACAGCAACAACAACAAAUUACUACAGCAUGUAUGCUAGUGUGCGUAAACGUAUUUGUGUUAAAUAAUGUUUAAACUGGCAUUUCUGAUUUCGCACACAAAACAAUAUUAAGUUGUAGUCACCAGCAGAGAGGAGCAAUUGAAGUAAACGAAAAAGAGCCAACGUUAUCAUUAAAAUUCGCCUCAAAUACAAGCAAUAAUACAUAAUAUAAAUAAAACCCGAAAGAAAAAAGUUCAACAUCUAGUAAAGAAAGCAAACAAAGUUUAGAAGCACUUGCAUUAACGAAAUCGUAGCCAUUAGCUUUAACAAAGUCGCGUAAAAAUUUUGAGCAGAACUUAGCAAGCCUAUAAAGUACGCCUUCCAAUAGUUAUUAUAUAUACACGCAUUAUAUACAUAUGCAUAUACACAGCCAUAGCACUUACAUACAUACAUAUAUACAUAUACAACAUCGGUCGAAGGGAAUUAUAAAAUGUGAAACCCACACGGGAAGCGAAUGAACGAUACGGAAUCGUGGAAAAAGUGCGUUAUAUGCUAACGGUGCAAUCAAAUCUUAAUGUAGCCAAGCGAUACUAACAUAUAUAGCACAUAAUAUAUAUAUAUAUAUUUCUUACAUCCAUCAAGUAAAUCAACAAUUUUUACAAUCCGCAAACUUAAGCAGCUUCAAAAUCAACCAACGCAAUUACUUUAAGAGAUUUACUUUAUCGGUAAAUGGACAAGCAUAAAGAAAACAUACGAAUAUUGGAGAAAAACAAAAAAUCAAGUGCAAAUAGCAACAAGUUAUUCUAAAUAUUAUAAUGAGAAUUAUACGAAAUUUCCAAUAUUUAACUUAAAUUAUCCUAUUAUUCAUAGGCCUAAGUAAUGAAUAAUAGAUUUUAUAUAUGCGCCCCAAGUGCUUAAUUAACAACAACAUCAACAACUACAGCAACAACACCACACAACCAAAUCAAGAUUAAAAAUAAUAAAAACUAUGUAAAACAACAACAACCUCAACAAACAGCGAAUCGAGCAAUAUUAUCAAUAAUAACUCUGUACAUUGUUAAACGUUAAAAAUUCAAAUUCAAACAACGCUAACAACCUGCCAAUAUCAACAACAAAUAAAACAACAACUAAUGCGGUGCCCAGGAUCCAUCGCCCACUUAAGCAUCCCGCCACAGGAAAAGUGCACAGAAAAUCCCCAAG